This 523-nucleotide ribosomal RNA is filed under the name uncultured microorganism. Its description in RNAcentral is "bacterial SSU rRNA". It matches the Rfam family "Bacterial small subunit ribosomal RNA", at positions 9 to 527 of the family's 1533-position model. The record is from RNAcentral.
GAGUUUGAUCCUGGCUCAGAUUGAACGCUGGCGGCAGGCCUAACACAUGCAAGUCGAGCGGAUGAAGGGAGCUUGCUCCUGGAUUCAGCGGCGGACGGGUGAGUAAUGCCUAGGAAUCUGCCUGGUAGUGGGGGAUAACGUCCGGAAACGGGCGCUAAUACCGCAUACGUCCUGAGGGAGAAAGUGGGGGAUCUUCGGACCUCACGCUAUCAGACGAGCCUAGGUCGGAUUAGCUAGUUGGUGGGGUAAAGGCCUACCAAGGCGACGAUCCGUAACUGGUCUGAGAGGAUGAUCAGUCACACUGGAACUGAGACACGGUCCAGACUCCUACGGGAGGCAGCAGUGGGGAAUAUUGGACAAUGGGCGAAAGCCUGAUCCAGCCAUGCCGCGUGUGUGAAGAAGGUCUUCGGAUUGUAAAGCACUUUAAGUUGGGAGGAAGGGCAGUAAGUUAAUACCUUGCUGUUUUGACGUUACCAACAGAAUAAGCACCGGCUAACUUCGUGCCAGCAGCCGCCGUAACACC